GUAAUGGUGUCUUUAGACACCACCUCUUAUCUUUGAAAAAAAAUCCU
Non-coding RNA from Picea glauca (white spruce), 47 nucleotides. NCBI's taxonomy places the organism in Eukaryota, Viridiplantae, Streptophyta, Pinopsida, Pinales, Pinaceae. The record is from Rfam.